Non-coding RNA from Podarcis lilfordi (Lilford's wall lizard), 1304 nucleotides. Lineage: Eukaryota; Metazoa; Chordata; Lepidosauria; Squamata; Lacertidae. The record is from the annotation of a GenBank genome assembly.
AUUCUAGACUGCUUACUCCAAGUCCUCUGCUGUGUUGCCAAAAGGUUUUCUAAUUCCUCCUGCCCACCCUCUCAAAUGUGGCCAUUUAUAUAUAUUAAAGUCAAGAAGACAGUCAUGGAAAAUCAUGGUGAACAGAUGUUGGCUUAAGGAGAUGGUUGAAUUUAAGAUUUAAAAAAAAAAUCAGAGGAAGAGAGUCUGAAAUGAGGUGGUGGAGCAUCCCUACAGUAAAAAGCCGCAAAGGGAAAGGGAAAUAGGCUGGGAAUGGAGAUGGUAGCCUUAUGCUGAACUAGAAGCUUGAUACCUAUAGAAUAUUUUGGAUAUUAACAAAUCCAAAAUAACUGUUGUGUGCCACUUCAGUCCUCUCAGUGGACUCAGUCCAUUCACACAUAUCAUUAGCAGCAAAGCAGCUGCUUUUUCUCCCAUGAGAGAUGAGGUGUUGCUGAAGUAGGCAUUUGAGAGUACUGAAACCACAAGCCAAUAUUGGAAGUGCAAAGGUGCAUUGGAAUCUCCAGUGUGCUAAAGAGUGGUGGAGCAAAUAUACCCAUAAGCUACCCUCUUUUGCAAGUACAACACACUGGGGUGGGGAAUAUAUGAGAGAAAUACAGCAAAUUGUCAGAGGCAAAUCUCACCAAGUUGAAUGGGACUUACUCCCAAGUAGGUGUCCACUUCCCAGUCAUGUCACCCAUCCUGACACCAAAAUAUAGCUUCUUUGUUUGCUGUAUUGUUAGCUGAGGUGACGUUACUUUGAGGGGAAGAGAAUCGCAGGAGCUGCCAUUUGUUUUUCACACAAAGCCUCUUUCUGAGGUGGUUUUUCAAAUUUUGAGAAACUCAAAAUGGCUGCCUCCUUUGCCACUCACCGGGGACCACCGUUGUAGUGGGCUGCAAAUGAAUGUGUACAGAAAACCACACACCUUUACUGAGUGGGCAGACUGUGCCUCUAAGCACUGCCCUUUUCUUCGAGAGAUGCAAUGUUAAAUAUCCCUCCAAAGAAAAGGCAGAUUGAAUCAGACUUGUGGAAAAUAUAAAAUCACAGUGUGCUGUUCCACAUAACCCUAUUUUUAAACCUGAAGUAUAAAAACAACAAAAAGAACAUUUUACACACAUUUGGAUUUCUUCUCUUUUCAUAGUGGAAUGUCUUGCAAACCCCCUCAAUGUUUUUUUUUUAUUUGACAGCAGAUGCAGAGGCUUAAAAGGCAACCCAUGCCAUUCUUUGGGGUGGAGGAAUGAACAAUGUAAGCAUAUUCAUCAAAAACUUAGGAGACCCACCAAGCUCAAUGGGACAAUCUCAAGUAAACACAUCAAAG